Molecule: ribosomal RNA, 645 nt
Filed under: uncultured marine eukaryote
Lineage: Eukaryota
Description: SSU rRNA
Rfam family: Eukaryotic small subunit ribosomal RNA
Source: RNAcentral
GUUGCGGUUAAAAAGCUCGUAGUUGGAUCUCGGCAAGUAGAGGGCGGUAUGCUUCGUAGCAUUACUGCCCUAUUACUUGUAGUUCUGCCAGAGGUUCCUGGGUGCUCUUAAUCGAGUGUCUAGGGAUGCUGGCAGGUUUACUUUGAAAAAAUUAGAGUGCUCAAAGCAGGCUAUUACGCUUGAAUAUUCGUGCAUGGAAUAAUAAAAUAGGAAGUUGUUUCUAUUUUGUUGGUUUUCGGAAAUCGACUUAAUGAUUAAUAGGGACAGUCGGGGGCAUUUGUAUUCAAACGACAGAGGUGAAAUUCUUGGACCGUUUGAAGACAAACUACUGCGAAAGCAUUUGCCAAGAAUGUUUUCAUUAAUCAAGAACGAAAGUUAGAGGUUCGAAGGCGAUUAGAUACCGCCCUAGUUCUAACCAUAAACGAUGCCAGCUAGCGAUCUGAGGACGUUUUUUUUGUAGACUCCUCAGGAAGCUUCCGGGAAACCAAAGCGUGUGGGUUCCGGGGGAAGUAUGGUUGCAAAGCUGAAACUUAAAGGAAUUGACGGAAGGGCACCACCAGGAGUGGAGCCUGCGGCUAAAUUUGACUCAACACGGGAAAUCUCACCAGGCCCGGACACUGGAAGGAUUGACAGAUUGAGAGCUCU